UGCACUUCAUCUCAUGGGUUCAUUGUUUCCUUGUCUGUCUUCCCCACGAGACUGCACACUUCAUUCAUUCACUUGUCCAACAGGUUCUGACUGAGCCGCGGCCACAUGCCAGGGCUGCCUUAGAUGCUGGGGACACGGGUGGACGGAGCCAGAGGUGCCCCACCCUCCCACCACGCACCCUUCGGUGCGAGAAAGAGGCAAAGGGCCAACUGCAAAGAGCGUGGCACCCAGGGCCAGGGGAGGGCACCAGCAAGGGGGAGUGACCCGGAGAGGCCGUCUGGAAUAAGAGACAUCUCAACGAGGCCCGGAGUUGAGGCAAACCCAGCUUCCUGCACUGCCCUCUCUGGAUCCUCACCCCCUGUGAGAAGGCACACAACCUCUCACCCAUCCGUGAAACACACCCGGCUGUGUCUCCAGGCCUAUGAAAAUAAAAAAAUAAAAUCAACUUGGCAGAAUGGC
Molecule: long non-coding RNA, 459 nt
Organism: Choloepus didactylus (southern two-toed sloth)
Lineage: Eukaryota; Metazoa; Chordata; Mammalia; Pilosa; Megalonychidae
Exons: 2
Source: RefSeq, a predicted model, not a curated record